UUUCUUAAGUCAAACCUUUU
RNAcentral lists this microRNA (20 nucleotides) under Sorghum bicolor (sorghum). RNAcentral describes it as "sbi-miR1435b". The record is from miRBase by way of RNAcentral. Lineage: Eukaryota; Viridiplantae; Streptophyta; Magnoliopsida; Poales; Poaceae.